RNAcentral lists this ribosomal RNA (253 nucleotides) under uncultured bacterium. RNAcentral's name for it is "partial 16S ribosomal RNA". It matches the Rfam family "Bacterial small subunit ribosomal RNA", at positions 524 to 776 of the family's 1533-position model. The record is from RNAcentral.
UACAGAGGGUGCAAGCGUUAAUCGGACUUACUGGGCGUAAAGAGCGCGUAGGCGGCUAUUUAAGUGAGAUGUGAAAUCCAUGGGCUUAACCUGUGAAUUGCAUUUCAUACUGGAUAGCUAGAGUAUGACAGAGGAAAGUGGAAUUUCCGGUGUAGCGGUGAAAUGCGUAGAUAUCGGAAAGAACAUCAGUGGCGAAGGCGGCUUUCUGGGUCAAUACUGACGCUGAGGCGCGAAAGCGUGGGGAGCAAACAGG